AUUGAACGCUGGCGGCAUGCUUUACACAUGCAAGUCGAACGGCAGCGCGGGCUUCGGCCUGGCGGCGAGUGGCGAACGGGUGAGUAAUGCAUCGGAACGUGCCCAGUAGUGGGGGAUAGCCCGGCGAAAGCCGGAUUAAUACCGCAUACGACCUGAGGGUGAAAGCGGGGGACCGAAAGGCCUCGCGCUAUUGGAGCGGCCGAUGUCGGAUUAGCUAGUUGGUGGGGUAAAGGCUUACCAAGGCGACGAUCCGUAGCUGGUCUGAGAGGACGACCAGCCACACUGUGGCUGGGGCACGGCCCAAACUCCUACGGGAGGCAGGAGUGGGGAAUUUUGGACAAUGGGGGCAACCCUGGUCCAGCCAUGCCGCGUGCGGGAAGAAGGCCUUCGGGUUGUAAACCGCUUUUGUUCGGGAAGAAAUCCUCUGAGCUAAUACCCCGGGGGGAUGACGGUACCGGAAGAAUAAGCACCGGCUAACUACGUG
This 484-nucleotide ribosomal RNA is filed under the name uncultured bacterium. RNAcentral's name for it is "partial 16S ribosomal RNA". It matches the Rfam family "Bacterial small subunit ribosomal RNA", at positions 28 to 507 of the family's 1533-position model. The record is from RNAcentral.